This 497-nucleotide ribosomal RNA is filed under the name uncultured bacterium. Its description in RNAcentral is "partial 16S ribosomal RNA". It matches the Rfam family "Bacterial small subunit ribosomal RNA", at positions 28 to 507 of the family's 1533-position model. The record is from RNAcentral.
GAUGAACGCUGGCGGCGUGCCUAAUACAUGCAAGUCGAGCGAACGGACGAGAAGCUUGCUUCUCUGAUGUUAGCGGCGGACGGGUGAGUAACACGUGGAUAACCUACCUAUAAGACUGGGAUAACUUCGGGAAACCGGAGCUAAUACCGGAUAAUAUUUUGAACCGCAUGGUUCAAAAGUGAAAGACGGUCUUGCUGUCACUUAUAGAUGGAUCCGCGCUGCAUUAGCUAGUUGGUACGGUAACGGCUUACCAAGGCAACGAUGCAUAGCCGACCUGAGAGGGUGAUCGGCCAGACUGGAACUGAGACACGGUCCAGACUCCUACGGGAGGCAGCAGUAGGGAAUCUUCCGCAAUGGGCGAAAGCCUGACGGAGCAACGCCGCGUGAGUGAUGAAGGUCUUCGGAUCGUAAAACUCUGUUAUUAGGGAAGAACAUAUGUGUAAGUAACUGUGCACAUCUUGACGGUACCUAAUCAGAAAGCCACGGCUAACUACGUG